RNAcentral lists this long non-coding RNA (3058 nucleotides) under Capsicum annuum. RNAcentral's name for it is "long non-coding RNA (CANN_LNC005688)". Lineage: Eukaryota; Viridiplantae; Streptophyta; Magnoliopsida; Solanales; Solanaceae. The record is from RNAcentral.
AUCACUCUCUUUUCUCUUAAACAAAACCUAAACCCUAAUCCCUCCAUUCUGACCAACAUCCUCCCCUCUCCCCCCUCUCUCUCUCUCCCUUCUCUCUUAUCUAAUAAAACUCUCCUGCCACCGCCCUUCUCCAUCACCGGUGAGUCAUGACCAGCCGCUGCUCCACCGCCUCCAUCCUCCUAUCCCGUCGACAAGCCUCGUCGGAUGUGAUUACCGGCGGGAUUUUCAUCUUCAGCACCGCCAGUCUCCGCCACUGGACGAAUCAGCCUCCGCUCCACCACUGACCGGCGAAUCUCCUCCCGCCGGACGCCUCCGGCGCCUCCUUCACCUGCUAACAGUCCCUCCAGUCCCUCCAUCAUUGGCAUCUCUAAGUGUGUAUUUUUUCCUUUAUAUUAAAGUAACUGUAAAGUUUGGGAUAAUAUGACUGAAUUUCUAGUCUUAGGGGUGAUUAUAUGAAUGUGUACAUAUAUUUUGAUUUGUAAGUAAAUGUGCGUGAGUUGUGUAUCACCGGAUUUAUCAAUUGAAUGCGUUGAAUCUUUCUUUUUUGUUUUUCGAUGAAGGAAAAAAGUAACUGUAUUUUUCUCUGAUUUAUUCUCUCCUUUUUAUGCAAAUAUGAGAUUUUGAAAACCCUAACUUUUGACUAAUUUUAGAAAUGUAUGUGAAAAUAUAGUUUUUUUGUUCAUUUUGUUGUGUUUUUAUGGAAAUGUGAAUGAUUAUAUGAAUGUACAUGUAUGCCUUUUUAUUUAUUUAUUUAUUUAUUUUUAUAUAUGUAAUUGAAUUGGUGUGAAUCGCUUGACUAGAUUUGUGCGUGUUGAAUCUAGUUCCUUUUUGUGUUUGCAGGAAUGUAAAUGAUCAUAUAAAUGUACAUGUAUGAUUUUUCUUUUUACUGGAUUUGUGAAUUGAAUUCAUUGAAUCUAUAUUUUUUUCUAUUUCUCUCCAUUUUAAAAAGCUCACUGUGAGUUUUUUUCCUGUGUUUUCUCUUCUUUUUUUUUUCUGCAAAUCUGAAAUUUUUAAAACCCUAAUUUUUGAAGAAUUUUCCACAUUUCUGAACCGAAAUGUAUGCGAGAAUGUGUUUCUUUUUUGUUUGCGGAAUUAUUUUUUUCUCUAAUGAAUUCGUGUGUUUCUUUUUUCUCUAAUGACUCGAAAAUGUUUAAGUUUAGGUAGUUGAAAGGUGAAUUUGUGUUUUGAAUUUACUAAAGUGAAUUAGUGAGUCAAAAAUGUUUAAGUGUAGUUACUUGAAAGGUGGACAUAUGUUUUGAAUAUAGUUAAGUGUUGUCACUAGAGAAGUGAGUAGUGAGUCGAAAAUGUUUAAGUGUAGGUACUUGAAAUGUGAACUUGUGUUUUGAAUAUAGUUAAGUGUGGUCACUAGAGAAGUGAGUUAGUGAGUCGAAAAUAAUUAAGUGUAGGUACUUGAAAUGUAGAUUUGUGUUUUGAAUUUGGUGUGGUCACUUGAGAAGUGAGUUAGUGAGUCAAAAAUGUUUAAGUGUAGUUACUUGAAAGGUGGACUUGUGUUUUGAAUAUAGUUAAGUGUGGUCACUAGAGAAGUGAGUUAGUGAGUCGAAAAUAAUUAAGUGUAGGUACUUGAAAUGUGAACUUGUGUUUUGAAUAUAGUUAAGUGUGGUCACUUGAGAAGCGCAUUAGUGUGUCGAAAAUGUUUAAGUGUAGUUAAUUGAAAGGUGGACUUGUAUUUUGAAUAUAGUCAAGUGUGGUCACUUGAGAAGUGAGUUAGUGACUUGAAAAUGUUUAAGUGUAGGUACUUGAAAUGUGAACUUGUGUUUUGAAUUUAGUUAAGUGUGGUCACUUGAGAAGUGCAUUGUGAGUCGAAAAUAUUUAAGUGUAGUUACUUGAAAGGUGGACUUGUGUUUUGAAUAUAGUUAAAUGUGGACACUUGAGAAGUGAGUUAGUGAGUCGAUAAUGUUUAAGUGUAGAUACUUGACAUGUGAACUUUUCAUUUUGAAUAUAGUUUAGUUUGGUAACUAGUGAAGUGACUUAGUGACUUGAAAAUGUUUAGGUGCAGGUACUUGAAAUGUGAACUUUUCAUUUUGAAUUUAGUUUAGUUUGGUAACUUGUGAAGUGAAUUAGUGACUUGAAAUGUUUAGGUGUAGGUCUUUGAAAUGUGAACUUUUCAUUUUGAAUUAAGUUUAGUUUGGUAACUUGUGAAGUGAAUUAGUGACUUGAAAAUGUUUAGGUGUAGGUACUUGAAAUGGGAACUUUUCAUUUUGAAUUUGGUUUAGUUAGGUAACUUGUGAAGUGACUUAGUGACUUGAAAUGUUUAAGUGUAGUUACUUGAAUUAUGAAUUAGUGACUUUUGUUUUGAAUUUAGGUACUUGAAAUGUGAAUUUGCGUUUUUAUUUUAGUAAAGUGUGGUCACUUAAUAAGUAAAUUAGCGACUUAAAAAUGUUUAGGUGUAGGUACUUGAAAUGUGAACUUUUCUUUUUGAAUUAAGUUUAGUUUGGUACCUUGUGAAGUGAAUUAGUAACUUGAAAUGUUUAGGUGUAGGUACUUGCAAUAUAAACUUUUCAUUUUGAAUUAAGUUUAGUUUGGUAACUUGUGAAGUGAAUUAGUGACUUGAAAAUGUUUAGGUGUAGUUACUUGAAUUAUGAAUUAGUGACUUUUAUUUUGAAUUUAGGUACUCGAAAUGUGAACUUGCGUUUUCAUUUUCGUAAAGUGUGGUCGUAAAGUGUGGUCGAAGUGAAUUAGUGACUUGAAAAUGUAAGUUUAGUUUGGUAACUUGUGAAGUGAAUUAGUGACUUGAAAAUGUUUAAGUGUAGGUACUUGAAAUGUGAACUUUUGUGACUUGAACUAAUUACUUGAAUGUGAUUGAUUGUGUAGAUGGAACCUGAUUAUAGCUGGAUAUAUCAAUGAAAUAUUGAUAGUAGAAUGGGUGGGGCUGGGAAUGAGGAUGCGGAUGAUGAGUUGUAGAUUUUAGUUUUUUGUAUGUUUUGUAGUUUGAAUUUGGAACCUCGAUAAAUUUUGUAAAUAAUUUGAUUUUUAAUGUUUGUAUUAUUAUGGUGGUUGAUUGUAUAUUAAAUGAUUGGUGGGUUGUAUUGUAAAUAAU